RNAcentral lists this ribosomal RNA (253 nucleotides) under uncultured bacterium. Its description in RNAcentral is "partial 16S ribosomal RNA". It matches the Rfam family "Bacterial small subunit ribosomal RNA", at positions 524 to 776 of the family's 1533-position model. The record is from RNAcentral.
UACGAAGGGGGCAAGCGUUGUUCGGAAUGACUGGGCGUAAAGGGCGCGUAGGCGGUUCGUUGCGUCAGAUGUGAAAGCCCCGGGCUCAACCUGGGAACUGCAUUUGAUACGGGCGAGCUUGAAUCCAAGAGAGGGUGGUGGAAUUCCCAGUGUAGAGGUGAAAUUCGUAGAUAUUGGGAAGAACACCAGUGGCGAAGGCGGCCACCUGGCUUGGUAUUGACGCUGAGGCGCGAAAGCGUGGGGAGCGAACAGG